Molecule: ribosomal RNA, 502 nt
Filed under: uncultured soil bacterium
Lineage: Bacteria
Description: bacterial SSU rRNA
Rfam family: Bacterial small subunit ribosomal RNA
Source: RNAcentral
AGAAUGAACGCUGGCGGCGUGCUUUACACAUGCAAGUUGAGCGAGGCCACCCGCAAGGGUGAGUCGAGCGGCGAACGGGUGAGUAACGCGUGGAUAACCUGCCCUGAGGUGGGGAAUAACCCGGGGAAACUCGGGCUAAUACCGCAUGAUACCAAGCGGUCAAAGAGGGCUCGCGAGAGCUCUUGCCACAGGAGGGGUCCGCGUUCGAUUAGCUAGUUGGUAGGGUAAUGGCCUACCAAGGCGACGAUCGAUAGCCGGCCUGAGAGGGUGAUCGGCCACACUGGAACUGAGACACGGUCCAGACUCCUACGGAGGCAGCAGUGGGAAUUUGCGCAAUGGGCUAACGCCUGACGCAGCAACGCCGCGUGGAGGAUGAAGGUCUUUAGGAUUGUAAACUCCGUGUCAGCGAAGGGAAAAGGAGGGACUAACGUACGUUCCAGACUUGAUUGUACCUGCAGGAGACGACCCGGCUAACUCGUGCGACCAGCAGGCCCGACGGUUA